CGACGCCCUGAGCCGAGGUCCGCGCCCAACUGGGCACCCUCAGACCUGUUGUCUUAAACGUUGUACCGGGUGAGAGCCUUCAGCGCUCCCCAUUUGUCCGGCCAAGUAGUUAAUGCCAUCUGCGGCAAAUCUACAAUAUGUCACGUCGAAAUGGACCCAACUAGAUGGCCAGCUAGUUCAGCCCACAUGCAACAGAUGGCGCCACAUCCAAUAAUGCAGUCUUCAAGCAGUCGUGAAACGCGAUAUCGAAGUUUACACAGCAAGACGCAUAUAUACAACUUCCAACAUAACACCGUCGGAACGUCGAUCCCUAGUCACACUGCCAACUUGAGGCUAGCGGGGUACUAUGCUCUGUUCGGUACCCCGAAAUUAUACCUUGGCGGCAGGGCAUCCUCACACGUUAGGUUUUUUUUUUUUCUUUUGACGUGACUUAUUGUAGAUUUGCCGCAGAUGGCAUUAACUACUUGGCCGGAACACGUUAGGUCACAUACCUCCGAAACGUAUUUCUCGGGCAUGUGGGUUUCCUUCACCGCUGAGCACGUGAUAAUCAUUUGUGUACGGAAUCUAGUACAUCAGCAUGAUAAAUGUAAGUUUACAUAGUCACAGACCACGAGAGAAGUCCACUUCCCAGCCAAAUAAUUUAAGACUGCAUUUUAUCGUUAGUUAAAAAAAAAAUUCGUACUAAUUUUUUUUUAUUUUAUUUUUUUUUCAAAUUUCGUGUAAGAUGUUUUGUUCUUCGAGCUUUAAUGUCUCUCUCAUCAAUGUGAUAGGUUAGUAGUCACAAUAAAUGUAAAAUAAUGUUAAUGUAUGGUAUGAGGCUGGAUGCUAUCAGCGCCUUUUCAGAGAGUUAUCUGACAAGGACCUUAAAACAAUUCGAUAAAGUGAGGUCACAAAUAUACACAAGCUCGGUCCUUUGCAAGAUGAUCUAAGGUUGCUUUUCCACCAGAGCUGUGCGAGAAAGCUAAGCGGUGUGCGAGGAAAAAAUCCACCUAUUUCUCCCAUCAGACGGGCUUAAAAUGGCCACAUCGAAGCAAUCCAUCUAAGAGAGCAAUGUUGCAAUUUGACAUUUGCGCGUAUAAAAGUAAGUGCGCAAUGCAAACAAAUGUCAAACAGCAAUAUUGCUUUCUUAGAUGAAUUGCUUCGAUGUGGCCAUUUUAAUCCCCUGCACACAUUUUGUUCGUGGCGUGACCAUGUCCUAGUGAGAUAUUUCAUUUGUAAAUACUGAGAUAGAUGCUAUAAUAUACAAGCUGUUAGUGACAUCGUAACGAAUACUGAAGGGGAUGAUUCAGACCACGGUUCUGAGUUGAUAUCAAGAGGAAUUUCCUGUCCAUGUGUAAAUUACACUUGGUAUCAACUCAGAAUCAUGAUCUGAAUCAUGCUUCAAAGUUUUCGUUACGAUGUCACUAACACCCUGUAUACACUAUAUGUAUAACCAAAAACUAUGACACCGUAACGAAUACUCAGGGGGAUGAUUCAGCUCAUGACUCUUGAGUUGAUAUCAAGUGGAAUUUUCCAUUGCAAAAGAAUAAAAUAACACAUAAAAAAACAUGAGUUUUGGUGGAAAUUCCACUCGAUAUUAACUCAGAAUUUUGAGCUGAAUCAUCCCCCUGAGUAUUCGUUACGGAGUCACUAACAUGCUGCAUUUAUAACUAAAAAUAUUUAUGUAAAUUGGACGUCAUAUAGAUGUUAAAAUAAUUAUAUUUGACGCUAAGGAUCAAAUAAUUGCUGUUUAGAUUGAUAACGUAAACAGCCUAUAUACGUCCCACUUCUGGGCACAGGCCUCCCCUCAAUCAACCGGAGGGGGUAUGGAGCAUACUCCACCACGCUGCUCCAUGUAGGGUAAAAAAAACUGCAUUUAUUAUUGAAAGUUGUAGAUAAUGUAAGUUCAAUAUUAAGAAAAAUAUUCUUUUAAAUGUAAGUAUUGAUUAAAUACUCUAUAAAAAUAUAAAUAGCAAAAUAUAGUUUUUUUUUCUAUAUAUAUUUUUCAAAUUAAAAUGUUGUAUAUUGUAAUCUUAAUGUAGUUAAUAAAAACAAUUAUGUAUCUGUUUUGGCUACUAGCGCUUUGGGGUUUCGGGUAAAAAAAAAGAUUUUGAAAAUAAAGUUUUUUUUAUUAUUUCUGAAUCUUAAAAAAUAUCUGUCUUAAAAUACUGAUGUCUUUAAAAUAAAGCGAAAAUGUAGUCAAAUUUAGCAAUAAAAAUCUUCUCAACUCUGGACCCUGAAACGCCGAGUCCGACUCGUGCUUGGCCAGUUUUCCGUUGUUACGAAACCGCCUGUGUGUCAGAACAUCCAUUAUAUAAUAAACAAUUCAAUAAGAAACUUUAUAUUAGAGGUCUGAACAGGCCAAAUUGGGUAUUGCGUCUUCGAGAGCUAUCAAAUUCAAAUAUACUUUAUUGCAUUUAAAAAAAAUAGUUACAAAAGAGAUUUAAGGUGGUAUUAAUAAACCAAUCUCAGCUUCGAGACUGCCCUCAAGAUCAUGUCAAUGUGACAGUUUUUUUUCUUUAUUUAAGGAGUUUUAUCUUACAAAAAGAUAAUGUCACUACGGAGUGACAUUAUGUAUGUAUUGUGGAGUGGCAUUGUGUAAGUUGUAGAAUCGAAGAAGUCACUCCGUAGUGACUUUUACACAAACUAAAAGCAACUUAAACUAAAAUAAUAAUUUUUGGCUUAAAACAAACUGUCCAUCCCCUUAAUGUGACAGUUCUUAUAUAAAACAGGGACUUGAGCUGAUGCGCAAGGUGAUUCUUGAGGGUCUCAGCUGAGAUUCGUUUAUUAAUACCACCCUUGGGUACACGACAAAUGGCGGCCUUAUCGUUUUAAGCGAUUCCUUCCAGACAACCAUAAGGCGAGACUUAUCAAUAAAUACAUGCACGAUGAUAAAUACAAAAUUCUUUAAUACGUAAAUAUCUUUCAAUUAUCAUGACUAAUAAAACUCUUUAGAUGAAAUGCUCAAUAUGGCCUUUUUGAUCCUCUGAUCGUAAUAAUUUAUUUAUAAUUUAUAUUAUUAAUGUAUAUGUUUAGAUUUGGUGUUAGCUCUCUUCACUAUUGCUAAGUAGUGGGUUCGAUUCUGAUUGUUAAUUUAAUGCGAUUUUUGUUCAUAUUUCAUUUGCUGCUCAAAGUUUUAACUACAAUUUCAAGCGGUAAUCGCAUCAAAAUACUUUAUCUUUUGAACUGCAUAUGAAACUAAUAAGUAAUACAGGCAAACUCAUACAUACAAGUACGUAUGGGUGUUAGUGACACCGUAACGAAUGCUGAGGGGUAUGAUUCAGACCAUGAUUCUGAGUUGAUAUCAAGUGGAAUUUCCUGUCGAAAAAUUCAUGAUAACAUUGGUGUUUUUUUUUUUGUAAUUAUUUUCAUUUGAUAUCAACACAGAAUCGUGGUCUGGAUCGUCCCUCCCCAAAUCUCCUGGUAGUUGCGGCUUCCGAAUACAUCCCGCUUAGGGACGGUACUGAAAACUAUCGGUGUCCGAAGGACGUAAUAUACGAUCCCGACGACCCAAUUACUCUAGCCAUAGAGGCAGCCAAUCAGCUCGCGACACCAACCACUUCAGGACCCCGAUACCGACCCCGCCGGCGUUGUCGACGACUUCCCUCAUUCAGCGCUUAUCGCUAUCGACCCACUAGGGUCGAUUAAUUCUUUCAAAUAUUUUUCCUCUCAGACGACGCCCUGAGCCGAGGUUCGCGCCCAACUAGGCACCCUUAGGCCUGUUGUCUUAAACGUUGUACCGAGUGAGAGCCUUCAGCGCACCCCAUUUGUCCGGCCAAGUAGUUAAUGCCAUCUGCGGCAAAUCUACAAUGAGUCACGUCAAAAAAAAAGGGUCGUCUUUCAAAGUUUUCGUUACGAUGUCACUAACUACCCUGUUUAACUGACGUAUGAAAGGGUACAUUGUUUUAGGUUUACGCGGUUAUUGUCAUAAUUAAAGCACAUAAUAACGGGUUCUUACCGCGUUUAAAUGGGGAUAUGAGACUCCCGAUAUUUCGACACUGUUGCAAGUGCCAUGAUCACGGGAUGACUGAUGAGAUUGGAGUGGAGUAGGUAGAUCCAUAAUUUUCUACGGGCAGACAUAUCUGUCUACCCUCUUUCUCUGCCGCUUGUUUAUGUUUUUGGAUCUACCUACUCCACUCCAAUCUCAUCAGUCAUCCCGUGAUCAUGGCACUUGCAACAGUGUCGAAAUAUCGGGAGUCUCAUAUCCCCAUUUAAACGCGGUAAGAACCCGUUAUUAUGUGCUUUAAGUAUGAAAGGGUAGGCAGAGAUAUAAUAGAAAAUUAGACUCCUCGCCAUGGUUAAGUCCCAUGUAAUAGAGGGCGAGCCUAUUGCCAUUAACCGGGCACAAAUCCUGAAAACCACGCGAUAUCAAUUUACCAAACAUGAAUUCAAACUUAUAAACACUAUUUUUUUAUUUUAUUUUUUAACGUUGGGAAAUGCAUUACGCAUACCACGCCGGGGCGACGUGGUUAUGUGGGACUCCCCGGGUGUCGCCACCCGGUAUACCCACUAAAACCCAACGGUGUUCCUCCUUGCCGCCCUGUGGCGGGGAUACGGGAACGCAAUUGCACACAACCGCGUCCCCGCCGGGAAACUUAUAAACGAUGUAAGUCUUUUGUACUUCCCUAUAUUGCUUGCUUUUUUAUUUGAAAAAAAAAACUACAUAAGUUCGCACCUGUUUCCCUUUUUAUAUUUUUUUUUAUAAAAAAAAAUAUUAUAUAAGAUUGGAAUCGAACUUACUGCCUUUAGUUCAGUUAAUCUAGUACACUUGUUAGGCCAGUCAACUCAGUAGGAAUUGAAUGUCUAGGUUGUUUUUUUUUAAAUCGUACAUAAUAGAAAAAAAAGAUAGGAAAAAUUGUAAAGGAAACAGAUAAAAGUACAUACAUAAAUUAAUGACGAAUUUUAAUGGAAUUCGCAAUAGAAAAAAAAAUGUAUAGAACGGUGAAUUAUUGAAGAAAUUGCGUUGGGCUCACCAUCCGGAGGUCCCGGGUUCGAAUCCUUGUGGGGACAUAUCACAAAAAUCACUUUGUGAUCCCUAGUUUGGUUAGGACAUUACAGGCUGAUCACCUGAGGCCUGUUUCAUAAAACUUACAAUUGUAAAUUACAACGACAAUUUGGUAUUCAUAACGUAGCUAAUAUGAAACUGCAAAAUAUUUGUGAUCAAUAACUCCGCAAUGUACAUCAAAUUGUCAUUGUAAUUUACAAUUGUAAGUUUUAUUAAACAGGCCCCUGAUUUUCCGAAAGUAAGAUGAUCCGUGCUUCGUAAGGCACGUUAAGCAGUUGGUCCCGGUUGCUACUUACUGAUGUAAGUGAGUAAUCGUUACAUGAGCCAUGUCAGGGGCCUUUGGCGGCUCAAUAAUAACCCUGACACCAGAUAGACGACGAGAAGACCAGCUAUGGUAUUCGCCCAUUAGUCGGCUUUCGCGACUAGUCGGCUACCCCGACUAAUAAAGAAGCACUUUCAAAAAUUCACCUUCUAAACUACAAUGUGUGAAACUGUCUUGUAACUUCUCUUGCGAAUUUCCUUUUCAGAUUUUUUUGUCAUUAUCAUUCGGUAUAACAAGUAUUUGACAGCCAAGCAAAAUUGGGGGUGUGAUCGGGACCUCCCGGUGAGUAUGGGAAAACUUCCAUAUCUUGAAAAACUGCUCCGCAUCAGGGAGACACCCUACGGUCUGGCGCAACUAUUAUACCUGGAUCAUUUUUUU
RNAcentral lists this long non-coding RNA (5684 nucleotides) under Pectinophora gossypiella (pink bollworm). RNAcentral's name for it is "uncharacterized LOC126379653". The record is from RNAcentral. Lineage: Eukaryota; Metazoa; Arthropoda; Insecta; Lepidoptera; Gelechiidae.